This 1177-nucleotide long non-coding RNA is filed under the name Daucus carota (carrot). RNAcentral describes it as "long non-coding RNA (DCAR_LNC006359)". Lineage: Eukaryota; Viridiplantae; Streptophyta; Magnoliopsida; Apiales; Apiaceae. The record is from RNAcentral.
GAGAUUCUCCUACCUACGACAAAAAAAAUCUUAUCUAAAAAUUCUUUAAAAUACUAUCUUAAAUAAUAAACAUCAAAAGAUUUUCUAAGAUAUUUUUUUAUGGUUAAUAAGAAAUAUUUGUACCAUGUAAGAAUUUUUUAAAAUUUGAGAUUUUUCUUGUAUAAAUUAUUUACCUUAUAAUAUUCUUUUGAUUGUUCUAAUAUUUUUAAUAAUUUCUUAGAGUCAGGCAAAAAAAAAUAAAAAUUCUUAGAGUGAUAUUCUUUGACCGAAUUCCAUUAAGUGAUUUCCUACAUGUGAAAAAUAUAAUUCAUAUCGAUGAGUAUUAAGACCUUGUUAAGCUUAAAAUUUUUAAAUAUAUAUUUUCCAAGAAAAACAUUUGAUACAACAAUACGAGUGAAAGAUUUUAAUUUUUAUAUAUAAUUUUCAUCAAAAGAAUCUGCAUAAAAAUAUGCAUCAAAACAUUUAAUGAAAUCUUGUUAAAUCUUAUUCUUAUCUAUAUACUUUUUAGAGCAUGAGUCAUUUUUUAAGGCUGAUAUGGUAAUUUCACAUGCUCUUGGAUCAACCCAUUAAGCUCUGGAUCGACCCAGCAUCUUCCUCAUUCAAAUUAACACUAUGAAAAGAUAUUUCGGAUCUUUAUGUGACCCGACCCGGAUAAUACUGGAUAUGCACCAUGUUCUUACCAUAUCAGUAGCGCAGCAUUGAAUGCAAUCCCUUCGAUCAAGCCACUCAUUACGAGCUCAUUCAAAUCAUAUUAAAAUCAGAAUUUAAAAAUAGCAUUAAUCACACAUCCUUGAAUCGUGCCACUAAUCACGACGUCAGUUAGAUUUAAGCUUUGCUACUUAUUUGCAUACGAUAUUCUUAUUAGAUCAAAGCAAAUAAGUUGGAUUUCACAUUCGAAAUCAUUCUUUCUUCCACGCCUGUAAUCGCGACGAGUAUGUUUUUUUGCUUGGCUUCCGAACUGAUUUGUGUUCUCGGACGGAUUUUGGUGCAGUACUACUGAUCUUGGCUUUCUUUACACAUUAAUUUCUCUAUCCACGGAUUUUGCUUUGCGCUUAUUUUCUAUAUUGUAUAAUCAAAUUGUACUUAUCUUGCACAAAUCACGUUGAUCCGUGUAUGCAUCAGGUAGUAUCCGUCUUAAUUUACAAUAUUUGCUACAUUGUGUAUAUUUGUUCAUUCU